RNAcentral lists this ribosomal RNA (675 nucleotides) under Liosina blastifera. Its description in RNAcentral is "eukaryotic LSU rRNA". It matches the Rfam family "Eukaryotic large subunit ribosomal RNA", at positions 168 to 647 of the family's 3401-position model. The record is from RNAcentral. Lineage: Eukaryota; Metazoa; Porifera; Demospongiae; Bubarida; Dictyonellidae.
UACUCCAUGUGGUCGAAGUUGACCUGGAAGGGCACGUCGGAGAGGGUGAUAGCCCCGUGCGAGACUGCGGUGGAGUAAGGGUGUUGCUGCCUUUGGCGAGUCGGGUUGUUUGGGAAUGCAGCCCCAAGUGGGUGGUAAACUCCAUCUAAAGCUAAACAUUGGCACGAGACCGAUAGCGAACAAGUACCGCGAGGGAAAGGUGAAAAGCACUUUGGAAAGAAGAGUCAAAGAGACCGCGAAACCGUUAGGAGGGAAGCGAAUGCAGCCAGAGCGGCUUCGUUCAGGUUCAGGAGGCGUUGCGUCUGUCCGUUGUGCGUCGUUUAACCCGGUGGGUAGGCGCUCGGUGGUCGGGUGCAUCUCUUCUGCAAUCCAGUUUCGUAGCCGGCCAACGGCGGUCGCCAGUCGCCCAGCAGGGCGGCGGGGAAGGUUUCUUUCCGUGCCUCAGGGCUUUGGGAAGGGCUUAUAGCCACGCCGUUCGGAAGUCGAACGGCGACCGAGGACUGUCGCAACCCCUUUGCGCAGGCACUGCGGGCCCCUCGUGGGCCGGAUCGCCCCUGCCCGUCCGGGAAGCGCGGAGGCUGACUGCUUGCAGUGUUCUCCGACGCUUGUCAGUUCGGGUGGGGGGUCGAUCGCGACUGCAGUGAUGUCGUUGGCAUGGAGGAUGGCUUCACCCGA